This is a long non-coding RNA of Cyanistes caeruleus (blue tit), 1111 nucleotides long. RefSeq lists it as uncharacterized. Lineage: Eukaryota; Metazoa; Chordata; Aves; Passeriformes; Paridae. The record is from RefSeq and is a predicted model, not a curated record.
CAUACAUAGAAAAUCCUUUCUGAAUUUUAACUUAGUUUGAUGGCUCUUGAAAGCAAGCUUUGAGAGGUUAAUGAGGGUUCUGUGACUUUUCACAGAGUGAUAGCCAUUAAAAAGAUGACAACUGAUGUGUAAUUAUAUCUUUUUAUGGAAAAUUCUCUCUGCUUAUCUGAUCAUUACAGAAUUCAUAAGUUUCUGAACCUCAGAUCAAGAAGGUUUUAGAAGCUGAGGACCCAUGACUGAAUGCCUUGUUCCUGUUGCAUUGUCUCCAAUGCUUGCAUUUUUCAACUCAUCUACAAUACCAUUUGCAGUGUGUGAAAGGUGCUUGGAGGCCUUUUCCUAUGAAAUGCACUUGCUUUUACUACUCCUAGUGAAGAGGGAAAUACAUGGAGUUGCCAGGGUUACCAUGACUUUUCUUGAAGUCCUAGGAUGAUGUAGGAUAAACACCUACAGUUCAUGGAUAUGUGUUUCUGUGUGGGGUGAAAAGGUUUCUGUCCAGGGCCAUUUUGACAAAGUUGGGAUGAAUGGCAUCCGGUAUCCCAGGUAAGCCUUUAACUAGAACUGACCUUGGGAUUCCUUUUACAAGCUUGUGCAGCACACACAGGAACCCCUUUGCUGUGCAGCAGCAUUUAUCAUUUGCAGGGAAAAAGUAAAGACAACACUAAAGUUUCCUGGGUGGUGAAGACUCAAUGCCAGAAAUUGUGACCCUUAAAUGUGUCUUGCCACGGGAGCAGUAAGUCAGGAUCACAACUCUCCUUGACUGGGAGCUGCGAUGCAGAUGCGGCUGUGAAUUCAGGGACAGGCUGCAGCCAGUAAAUAUAAGAUCAACUGCUGCUGUAGAUCUUCCUGAUAAUUAAUUCCACAGAGAUGAUGAGACUUUCCACAUUCCAUAAUAUUAAGUUUCCCCAAACCAUAUUAAGAUUAAGCUUGUAACAUUUACAUAUGGAUGUAUGAAGUUAUACCUGUAGCAGGUAUAACUAUGUUUGCAACUUCUGCCUAAGAAACAUAGACAUGGUUAUUUCAAAGUCAAAUGUUAUUAUAUAUCAUCACAAAAAAACCUCUGUAGAAGUAAAAAUCAAGGCUAAGAAAGGUCAUAUUUAAUAUAUUAUAAAAU